GGGGGCGCAUUUGGCUUCGACGGGGGUCACGAAGCAGUGCAGUGCAUGCCGAGGCCCAGUCACCUCGUUAAUCCGCUGGAAAUCGACAGUCGCCAACGACGACCGUUACGCUCUCGCGGCCUAACACCCGCGGGACUCUGCUCCGGUUCUGCCUCGGACCGGCUAGCGCAAGCUAGAGCAGAGUCAUUUUCGAGGCAUCGCUCGGUUUCGGGUUACUUGACUCCGGGUUAAAUCCAAGGUGACUCGCCCUGAGAUUGCCUGCCCGUCGGCGGCCGAAGGGUUAAACCCAAUGACGUGGCUAAGCAUGUAGUACUGUCUGUGUAGGGCUUUCGGACGCGGGUUCGAUUCCCGCCGCCUCCACCA
This 363-nucleotide transfer-messenger RNA is filed under the name Burkholderiales. RNAcentral's name for it is "Ga0077523 sp019745565 Standard tmRNA". It matches the Rfam family "transfer-messenger RNA". From Rfam's summary of the family: Bacterial tmRNA, also known as 10Sa RNA or SsrA, is named for its dual tRNA and mRNA-like properties. Its role is to liberate the mRNA from a stalled ribosome. The record is from RNAcentral. RNAcentral also lists the same sequence under 1 other name. Lineage: Bacteria; Pseudomonadati; Pseudomonadota; Betaproteobacteria.